CCUAAUACAUGCAAGUCGAACGCACAGCGAAAGGUGCUUGCACCUUUCAAGUGAGUGGCGAACGGGUGAGUAACACGUGGACAACCUGCCUCAAGGCUGGGGAUAACAUUUGGAAACAGAUGCUAAUACCGAAUAAAACUUAGUGUCGCAUGACACAAAGUUAAAAGGCGCUUCGGCGUCACCUAGAGAUGGAUCCGCGGUGCAUUAGUUAGUUGGUGGGGUAAAGGCCUACCAAGACAAUGAUGCAUAGCCGAGUUGAGAGACUGAUCGGCCACAUUGGGACUGAGACACGGCCCAAACUCCUACGGGAGGCUGCAGUAGGGAAUCUUCCACAAUGGGCGAAAGCCUGAUGGAGCAACGCCGCGUGUGUGAUGAAGGCUUUCGGGUCGUAAAGCACUGUUGUAUGGGAAGAACAGCUAGAAUAGGAAAUGAUUUUAGUUUGACGGUACCAUACCAGAAAGGGACGGCUAAAUACGUGCCAGCAGCCGCGGUAAUACGUAUGUCCCGAGCGUUAUCCGGAUUUAUUGGGCGUAAAGCGAGCGCAGACGGUUUAUUAAGUCUGAUGUGAAAGCCCGGAGCUCAACUCCGGAAUGGCAUUGGAAACUGGUUAACUUGAGUGCAGUAGAGGUAAGUGGAACUCCAUGUGUAGCGGUGGAAUGCGUAGAUAUAUGGAAGAACACCAGUGGCGAAGGCGGCUUACUGGACUGCAACUGACGUUGAGGCUCGAAAAGUGUGGGUAGCAAACAGGAUUAGAUACCCUGGUAGUCCACACCGUAAACGAUGAACACUAGGUGUUAGGAGGUUUCCGCCUCUUAGUGCCGAAGCUAACGCAUUAGUG
RNAcentral lists this ribosomal RNA (838 nucleotides) under Leuconostoc mesenteroides. RNAcentral's name for it is "bacterial SSU rRNA". It matches the Rfam family "Bacterial small subunit ribosomal RNA", at positions 47 to 866 of the family's 1533-position model. Lineage: Bacteria; Bacillati; Bacillota; Bacilli; Lactobacillales; Lactobacillaceae. The record is from RNAcentral.